GCUGGCGGCAUGCCUUACACAUGCAAGUCGAACGGCAGCACGGGAGCAAUCCUGGUGGCGAGUGGCGAACGGGUGAGUAAUAUAUCGGAACGUGCCCAGUCGUGGGGGAUAACGCAGCGAAAGCUGUGCUAAUACCGCAUACGAUCUCUGGAUGAAAGCGGGGGACCUGCAAGGGCCUCGCGCGAUUGGAGCGGCCGAUAUCAGAUUAGCUAGUUGGUGGGGUAAAAGCUCACCAAGGCGACGAUCUGUAGCUGGUCUGAGAGGACGACCAGCCACACUGGAACUGAGACACGGUCCAGACUCCUACGGGAGGCAGCAGUGGGGAAUUUUGGACAAUGGGCGCAAGCCUGAUCCAGCAAUGCCGCGCGCAGGAUGAAGGCCUUCGGGUUGUAAACUGCUUUUGUACGGAACGAAAAGGCUCUUUUUAAUAAAGAGGGCUCAUGACGGUACCGUAAGAAUAAGCACCGGCUAACUACGUGCCAGCAGCCGCGGUAAUACGUAGGGUGCGAGCGUUAAUCGGAAUUACUGGGCGUAAAGCGUGCGCAGGCGGUUUUGUAAGACAGAUGUGAAAUCCCCGGGCUCAACCUGGGACCUGCAUUUGUGACUGCAAGGCCAGAGUACGGUAGAGGGGGAU
Molecule: ribosomal RNA, 634 nt
Filed under: uncultured Rhodoferax sp.
Lineage: Bacteria; Pseudomonadati; Pseudomonadota; Betaproteobacteria; Burkholderiales; Comamonadaceae
Description: bacterial SSU rRNA
Rfam family: Bacterial small subunit ribosomal RNA
Source: RNAcentral